Molecule: ribosomal RNA, 282 nt
Filed under: uncultured Staphylococcus sp.
Lineage: Bacteria; Bacillati; Bacillota; Bacilli; Caryophanales; Staphylococcaceae
Description: partial 16S ribosomal RNA
Rfam family: Bacterial small subunit ribosomal RNA
Source: RNAcentral
CUUCUGAUGUUAGCGGCGGACGGGUGGAGUAACACGUGGGUAACCUACCUAUAAGACUGGGAGUAACUCCGGGAAACCGGGGCUAAUACCGGAUAAUAUUUUGAACCGCAUGGUUCAAUAGUGAAAGACGGUUUCGGCUGUCACUUAUAGAUGGACCCGCGCCGUAUUAGCUAGUUGGUAAGGUAACGGCUUACCAAGGCGACGAUACGUAGCCGACCUGAGAGGGUGAUCGGCCACACUGGAACCGAGACACGGUCCAGACUCCUACGGGAGGCAGCAGCU